Molecule: ribosomal RNA, 2244 nt
Filed under: Escherichia coli
Lineage: Bacteria; Pseudomonadati; Pseudomonadota; Gammaproteobacteria; Enterobacterales; Enterobacteriaceae
Description: partial 23S ribosomal RNA
Rfam family: Bacterial large subunit ribosomal RNA
Source: RNAcentral
GAAACCCGGUGAUCUAGCCAUGGGCAGGUUGAAGGUUGGGUAACACUAACUGGAGGACCGAACCGACUAAUGUUGAAAAAUUAGCGGAUGACUUGUGGCUGGGGGUGAAAGGCCAAUCAAACCGGGAGAUAGCUGGUUCUCCCCGAAAGCUAUUUAGGUAGCGCCUCGUGAAUUCAUCUCCGGGGGUAGAGCACUGUUUCGGCAAGGGGGUCAUCCCGACUUACCAACCCGAUGCAAACUGCGAAUACCGGAGAAUGUUAUCACGGGAGACACACGGCGGGUGCUAACGUCCGUCGUGAAGAGGGAAACAACCCAGACCGCCAGCUAAGGUCCCAAAGUCAUGGUUAAGUGGGAAACGAUGUGGGAAGGCCCAGACAGCCAGGAUGUUGGCUUAGAAGCAGCCAUCAUUUAAAGAAAGCGUAAUAGCUCACUGGUCGAGUCGGCCUGCGCGGAAGAUGUAACGGGGCUAAACCAUGCACCGAAGCUGCGGCAGCGACACUAUGUGUUGUUGGGUAGGGGAGCGUUCUGUAAGCCUGUGAAGGUGUACUGUGAGGUAUGCUGGAGGUAUCAGAAGUGCGAAUGCUGACAUAAGUAACGAUAAAGCGGGUGAAAAGCCCGCUCGCCGGAAGACCAAGGGUUCCUGUCCAACGUUAAUCGGGGCAGGGUGAGUCGACCCCUAAGGCGAGGCCGAAAGGCGUAGUCGAUGGGAAACAGGUUAAUAUUCCUGUACUUGGUGUUACUGCGAAGGGGGGACGGAGAAGGCUAUGUUGGCCGGGCGACGGUUGUCCCGGUUUAAGCGUGUAGGCUGAUUUUCCAGGCAAAUCCGGAAAAUCAAGGCUGAGGCGUGAUGACGAGGCACUACGGUGCUGAAGCAACAAAUGCCCUGCUUCCAGGAAAAGCCUCUAAGCAUCAGGUAACAUCAAAUCGUACCCCAAACCGACACAGGUGGUCAGGUAGAGAAUACCAAGGCGCUUGAGAGAACUCGGGUGAAGGAACUAGGCAAAAUGGUGCCGUAACUUCGGGAGAAGGCACGCUGAUAUGUAGGUGAAGCGACUUGCUCGUGGAGCUGAAAUCAGUCGAAGAUACCAGCUGGCUGCAACUGUUUAUUAAAAACACAGCACUGUGCAAACACGAAAGUGGACGUAUACGGUGUGACGCCUGCCCGGUGCCGGAAGGUUAAUUGAUGGGGUUAGCGGUAACGCGAAGCUCUUGAUCGAAGCCCCGGUAAACGGCGGCCGUAACUAUAACGGUCCUAAGGUAGCGAAAUUCCUUGUCGGGUAAGUUCCGACCUGCACGAAUGGCGUAAUGAUGGCCAGGCUGUCUCCACCCGAGACUCAGUGAAAUUGAACUCGCUGUGAAGAUGCAGUGUACCCGCGGCAAGACGGAAAGACCCCGUGAACCUUUACUAUAGCUUGACACUGAACAUUGAGCCUUGAUGUGUAGGAUAGGUGGGAGGCUUUGAAGUGUGGACGCCAGUCUGCAUGGAGCCGACCUUGAAAUACCACCCUUUAAUGUUUGAUGUUCUAACGUUGGCCCGUUAUCCGGGUUGCGGACAGUGUCUGGUGGGUAGUUUGACUGGGGCGGUCUCCUCCUAAAGAGUAACGGAGGAGCACGAAGGUUGGCUAAUCCUGGUCGGACAUCAGGAGGUUAGUGCAAUGGCAUAAGCCAGCUUGACUGCGAGCGUGACGGCGCGAGCAGGUGCGAAAGCAGGUCAUAGUGAUCCGGUGGUUCUGAAUGGAAGGGCCAUCGCUCAACGGAUAAAAGGUACUCCGGGGAUAACAGGCUGAUACCGCCCAAGAGUUCAUAUCGACGGCGGUGUUUGGCACCUCGAUGUCGGCUCAUCACAUCCUGGGGCUGAAGUAGGUCCCAAGGGUAUGGCUGUUCGCCAUUUAAAGUGGUACGCGAGCUGGGUUUAGAACGUCGUGAGACAGUUCGGUCCCUAUCUGCCGUGGGCGCUGGAGAACUGAGGGGGGCUGCUCCUAGUACGAGAGGACCGGAGUGGACGCAUCACUGGUGUUCGGGUUGUCAUGCCAAUGGCACUGCCCGGUAGCUAAAUGCGGAAGAGAUAAGUGCUGAAAGCAUCUAAGCACGAAACUUGCCCCGAGAUGAGUUCUCCCUGACUCCUUGAGAGUCCUGAAGGAACGUUGAAGACGACGACGUUGAUAGGCCGGGUGUGUAAGCGCAGCGAUGCGUUGAGCUAACCGGUACUAAUGAACCGUGAGGCUUAACCUUACAACGCCGAAG